RNA transcript from Panicum virgatum (switchgrass), 3690 nucleotides. It is a transcript of the gene named CRM-domain containing factor CFM2, chloroplastic-like, with no coding region annotated. The transcript has 13 exons. Lineage: Eukaryota; Viridiplantae; Streptophyta; Magnoliopsida; Poales; Poaceae. The record is from RefSeq and is a predicted model, not a curated record.
ACGGCUCAGUUGAACCCGUCUUCUCCCUCAGCUCCACUCCCAACCGGCAACCCACCAUUCCCACGCAAACAAAUGCUCCUCUCACUCUCCCCACACCCUUCCUUUCUCCUCUCCCUCCCCGCCACUUCCGCCUCCAAGCCCCGCGCCCGCCUCCGUCCUGUCCACGCCUCCGCCUCCGCGUCCCCCUCGCCGGAGCUCCUCGGCAAGUCGGCGCUCCGCCGCAUCUCCGACAAGCUCCGCGGCCUCGGAUACCUCGAGACCGGCUCCGAGACCCCCGCUCCGGCCCCGGACACGAGCGGGGACGCCGCCUCCGCCGGCGAGAUCUUCGUGCCCACCCCGGCCCAGCUCCCGCGCCACCGCGUCGGCUCCACCCUAGACCCGAGCUGGGCCACGGCCGACGGCGAGGCCGGCCCCGCUGCGCGGCGGCAGCGGAGGGGGCGCGGGAGGGAUGCUGCUUCGGCGCCGCCGUCCGCGGCGGAGCUGGCGCUGCCGCGGGACGAGCUGCGGCGGCUGCAGGGGAUCGGGAUCAGGGUGAGGAAGAGGCUCAAAGUCGGGAAGGCGGGCAUCACGGAGGGGAUCGUGAACGGGAUACACGAGCGGUGGCGGAACGCGGAGGUCGUUAAGAUCAGGUUCGAGGACGUCUGGGCUAUGAACAUGAGGCGCACGCACGAGAUGCUCGAGAGGAAAACUGGAGGCUUAGUCAUUUGGAGGUCUGGGAGUACCAUCAUAUUAUAUAGAGGGACCAACUAUAAGUAUCCUUACUUCCAUUACAGAGAAGAAAGUAUGGAUGGUUUUCUUGACGAAGAAUCAUCAGAGCAGAGCAGCUCGGGGGAUGAGGAUGAAGAUCUUGGUAUAGAAUCAGCGGCGCUGAGUAGCAGUAGGGAGGAGGAUGAGACUAGUUUUCAACAUGAUAGCAGUUAUGAAAGUAGUGAGAAUCCUGUUAUAGAAUGUGCAGAACAGAGGAGUACAGGAGAGGGAAAGAACCAUACCGUAGGAGAUUUGAGCCAGAGCUUAAGCAGAGAGAAAGAUACAACUCAUCCAAUAUUAUCUACCAAACGGCUUCUUUUUGAUACACAUGAGGGAAAUUUGGACAUUAGAACUGCAGCUCCAAAUGAACAGCAUGCGAGAUUGCACGGAAACACUCAUGCUGAUCGUCAUGGUAAAGUUGGUCCUAGAGAUCGGUCAUCCUUAGUGGCUGGUGUUGGUUCUCCAAAUAAGUUCCGAUUACAGUUGCCUGGGGAGGUCAAACUUGCAGAGGAAGCUAAUAAAUUACUGGAUGGGUUGGGCCCAAGGUUUUAUGGUUGGUGGGGGUAUGAUCCCCUUCCAGUGGAUGCUGAUUUAUUACCAGCUAUUGUGCCAGGAUACCGUAGACCUUUUCGCCUUCUUCCUUCUGGUGUGCCGUCUAAGCUAACAGACAGGGAAAUGACUAUCCUUAGGAGACUAGCUCAUCCCUUGCCCUUCCACUAUGCACUUGAUUCUUGUGUCCACUUUCCAGGAAGAAGCAGUAACCUUCAAGGAUUGGCUGCAUCCAUGAUCAAGCUAUGGGAAAGAUGUGAGGUAGCGAAGAUUGCAAUCAAGAGAGAUGCAAACAACACUGAUAGUGAACUCAUCACUGAAGAAUUAAAGGGAUUGACAGGUGGAACUCUAUUAUCAAGGGAUAAGGAGUCGAUUGUAUUCUACAGAGGGAAAGAUUUCCUCCCCCCAGCUGUCUCUCUGGCAAUAGAAAAACGCAGAAAGUUGGGCGGUUCUACAAUCUACAAGCCCAAGCCUGACACUGAAGCAAGCACGCCUGCUCAAGAUGCUUCUGUACUGAAGGUAUCAAGUGAUGUCCCUGUACACAUUCAUGAAGAGGAAAUUUCUGUUCCAGAGAAUAGAGCAGAAUCUCUUAAUACUGUGGCCCAGAUUGUGGAGACCAGAUUAUCUCAGGCCAUAGCAGAGAAAGAGAAAGCUGAAAAACUUCUUCAAGAACUAGAAAAUGCAUCUCAGCCUUCAAAAGCUGAAACUAAAGAGGUUAUCUCGAAAGAGGAGAGGUACAUGUUGAGGAAAGUUGGAUUGAAGAUGAAACAAUUUCUGCUGCUAGGGAGGAGAGGAGUUUUUGAUGGAACUAUUGAAAAUAUGCAUCUUCAUUGGAAAUAUCGAGAACUUGUCAAGAUUGUCUGUAAAGAACACAGCCUUAAAGAUGUUGAAUAUGCUGCUCGAACUCUAGAGGCAGCGAGUGGUGGUAUUUUGGUGGCAGUGGAAAAAGUGAGCAAAGGACAUGCUAUUAUAGUAUAUCGAGGAAAGAAUUACCAGAGGCCAUCAGCUCUCAGGCCAAAAACUUUGUUGAGUAAAAGGGAUGCUUUGAAGCGUUCUAUGGAAAACCAACGUUGUAAGUCCCUGAAGGUUCAUGUGCUUAAUCUGUCAAAGAAUAUUGACUACUUGAAGGACCAGAUGAAUUCCAGCUACUAUAAAACGACCAUUCGUGAUCCUAGUGUCAACUCCAGAACAUUACAACAGAAAAAUGAAGAAGUGCCUGAAGUUGCUCCCAAGAGUUCAGAGCCAGAGGUUGAGGAGUUCGCUUCAGUUGUGAUGGAUCGAACCUUAAAUUUAACAAAGUCCGGAGUUCCUUUGGAUGACGAUGAUACACAGAGCAAAGUCUGUCUCACUAAACUUGAAGAUGACUCUUCACUGACUGCAAGUCCAUGCCUGACCGGGAGAUCUAGUGCAGUUUCAUUCAAUGAUCUGAACAGACAUCAAAACCAGCACAGCUCUACUGUGACGUUCGAUUCAGAUAGUCGUAGUGAAGGCGAUUCAAAAGAUGUGGAUGCACCAAAAUUUGAUGUGGAAUCUGAUCCUCUCUUGCCUCUGAGAGCAACACCACUCUCAAAUAAAGAAAGGCUUGUACUAAGGAAGCAAGCGCUUAAAAUGAAGAAACGGCCAGUACUUUCUAUAGGGAGGAAUAAUGUCAUCACGGGAGUUGCAAAAACAAUAAAAACACACUUCAAGAAGCAUCCUCUUGCUAUUGUGAACAUAAAGAACAGAGCGGACGGGACUCCAAUCCAGCAGCUGAUAACAGAACUGGAGGAGGCGACAGGAUCGGUUCUAGUGUCACAAGAAACGAACAAAGUGAUUUUGUACAGAGGUUGGGGAGCAGAAGUGGCCCAGAAAAGCUCAAAGGAAAAUGGUACAGAUGAAGAUAAGGAGGUGAUAUCACCUCAGCUCCUGGAGGCGAUCAGGUUAGAGUGUGGAUUGCUCCCUGACGAGUCAGGAUAGCUGAAUGCCAGAGUAACCUCCCCACAGAUCAUGUUUUGAAAAUGGAUCGUACAAUCAUCGCUCGUGGAUAAAUGGAUCAUACUCGUAUAGAGGACAUAUAUAUGCAACGAGAACUGAAGCUGCAUAAGAGCAAAGAUAAGAACACAGACAUGGCCAUGUUUAGCUGUGCUGUCGUAUCUUGUUCCAAGUAGAUCUUACUCAACUCGUCAGCAGCUAACAUCCGGCAAAAGGUAGUGCCGUCUGCUGGAAUCCGGCCAAAGACCUGCAAGGGUGAUGCACACAUGGGUCAGCACCUUUGCUUGCAUCAUCCAUCCAUCCGUCCAUUUGCCCUGGCCUUUGCAGCUUGCAGGCUGCAGACCGCGGGCGGGCAAGAACAGUGGUGCUACAUGACCUGUCGAUUUGUUUCGGCACUGCCAACACCAGCUCCCCUCCUGGCUA